RNAcentral lists this unclassified non-coding RNA (207 nucleotides) under Paraglomerales sp. Its description in RNAcentral is "partial contains 5.8S ribosomal RNA and internal transcribed spacer 2". The stretch from base 1 to 66 matches the Rfam family "5.8S ribosomal RNA", at positions 84 to 154 of the family's 154-position model. The record is from RNAcentral. Lineage: Eukaryota; Fungi; Glomeromycota; Glomeromycetes; Paraglomerales.
GUGAAUCAUCGAAUUUUUGAACGCAAAUUGCGCCUUCUUUCGGGAGGCAUGUCUGUUUGAGGGCACCAUUUAACUAAUAAUUUGCGUGUCGCUAUGCGGCGUGCACACGGUGAUGAGCUUUCCCUAAUAACCAGGUUUUUUUUGUGGCGCAUAAUGCACAGCGUGAGCUUUUUCUUUCGUUCCUCGAGUAGUAUGUAAAUUUUCUAC